CAGCUCCUUCCAUUUAAUCUCCCACCAGAGAAGGGACAGGAAGAGAGAGAGAGAGAGAGGAGGAAGCCCACCGUCUCCUGCGGCCCGGGUUGCCGAGAUAAGGCGUCCAGCGGCUAUUAAUGGAAGAGGAAGCAGAAGAUUGCCGCUUCAUUUCCGGAACGUAAAGAAUGGAUAACCAACCGUUCUUUAUUUCAACUGUGCAUCGUCGUCGAGGCAGUAAGAGAGAAAGAGAGAGAGAGAGAGAAUUCAAAUCUGAGUUAUAAUUGAGCUCGACUAGACCUAUCCAUCCAACGAAAAAAUCAUAAAUUGGAUUCAUGUUAGGUCCAAUAUUUUGGGUUACUAUACGAAUUGAGGAUUUGGAUCUAGUCGAGAUUAAUAUCUCAUAUGGAAAUGGUUUACGUCUCAA
Molecule: long non-coding RNA, 406 nt
Organism: Musa acuminata AAA Group (dessert banana)
Lineage: Eukaryota; Viridiplantae; Streptophyta; Magnoliopsida; Zingiberales; Musaceae
Exons: 2
Source: RefSeq, a predicted model, not a curated record